Molecule: long non-coding RNA, 7253 nt
Organism: Hemicordylus capensis (graceful crag lizard)
Lineage: Eukaryota; Metazoa; Chordata; Lepidosauria; Squamata; Cordylidae
Exons: 2
Source: RefSeq, a predicted model, not a curated record
AGCGUCCCCAUCCUCAACCUCCACCUCCUCCACCUCCUCCUCCACCACCACCACCUCCUCCCCGGGGCUCCUGCCUGUGCGCCCCCCUCUCCGCUCGCUGCAAGUUUCCCCCCCGCCCCACCAAGUAGCCGCCGCCGCCUCUUCCCGCCGCUUGUCCCACUUCAAGCCAACUUUGCCAAUCGCCUCUUUGAUCGACCUGCGGCUGCCGCCGCCGCCAGCAGAUCCCGUUAGCCCUUUAACGCACGCCUCCAGCCUGGCUUGCUUGGAGUCGGCUGCUAUUGCUCGGCGGGCGCGGCGAUCAGGGAGCAGUGGAGCUACGCGAGGAGGCUUAGAAGGAACAUCCUCGUCUCCAGUGGGGCCCCAUCAGCACACCGCUCCACCGACGGCUGGGUUGUUAACCGCGAUUUCUAUCUGCCUGCGUCAAGCUAGACUGGAGACAGCGACAGAGAGAGAGAGGAGAAGGAGAUGGAGGGAGGGAAGGAGGGAAGGAAGGGAAGAGAGCGAGCGAGCGAGCAAGGGGCGUCUGCAGCCUGCCGUGGCACAUGCACUUUCCCUCUGUCACUCUUCUGAGGGCUACGACUCUCCGCUCAACUACCCAGCAGCAGCCAGCAUCUCUCCCCUCUCCCCCCUCCCCCUCGCCCCGCCGCCGCCGCCAGCCAAGGUAGGUGAGUGCGGGGGCUUUGGUUGCAUUCCAGGCACUUCUUGCUGAAAUGCCACGCCACGUUUGCAAAGGAAUGUGCAGCCUUUGGACACGUUUCCUUUGCAGGACGGAGAGACAUUCAGAGUGAACGCACGCAUACCCGCACGGCACUUCGGAAAUCGCCGGAGAAGUCCUCGCGUUGGCAAAGCUCCUCAGUCUGCCUCAAGCAACCUCCGGGGCUAGCGGAAGAAGAAGUUCCAUUUCCAGGAGAUACACAUACGCACCUCACCACCACCCGGGUCUUUUUUUCUUCUAAAACUACUAAUAAGGAGAGCUCAACCUUUGCACCUGGCAGGCAUACCUUCUGCAAGCCCUGCACCCUAUCUCAUCCAUACGUAUGUUAGGGACUGGGUUGGCACUCUGCACAUGCCAAGGGGCACUCUCUGUAUUAAUACUCCACAUGUUGCAAAGCUGAGCUCAGCCAAAAUAAUUCCUCACUCAGAACCUCCUUAAGCAGUCUUAGUGCCAGCUGCUUGCCCAAAGCAACCUCCAAGUUUAGGUGAAGCUUCAGCUGUAUAGCACACACGUUUUUUAGCAGUUACAGACACAGUUUUAAAAUAGUCAUUGUAAUGCCAUUACCAGACCAUUUCAUCCUGCCGCAAGCAACCUUCAGGGUUCAGUCUUUUUGUUUCUAGAUACCUGCAGCUUCAUUUGGGGGAAUUGGGAGAAAUGGGAGUUAACUGGAGUGUUGUUUUUUAGUGCACCUUUCUUAGGACAGUGAUGAGGUUGUCUCUCUCCAUUUCAUUUAGUAAACUCACCCACCCUCUGUCAUUACAACCACAAGAAAUAAAGCAGUUAUCUGAGAAGGAACAUAGUGGGUGGAGCAGAAGUGUGGCGGGGUGUGGGUUUUUUUAGCAUUUUAAACAGGUUUUGAAAGAAAAUCUAUAUGAAACCAUGCUCAGCCAUCUGGAAAAGGUUGCUGGCUUUGGUCUUUUCUUCUUCCUACUUGAGGUGGGCGAUUGAAAGGUGAGAGCUUCAUCUUCAUCUACCUAGGUAGGAGCUUCAUCUACCUGGAUCCUGCUGCGUUUUGGCUUCAAUCCCUCAGGCUGUGUAAUUAGAGGAGAGGAACAGGUGCAGUCAACAUUCUGCACCAAAAGCUAAACUAAUGUUAGGCUCAAGUCAUCCCUCCUCAGCAACUGAUGCAUGACUUUAGAUCCAGCACCUGGAUGCUUCAUGGUCUCUGAUCCUACUCACAAUGCCAAGUUUCAUACCAGGGGAAAACCAGCGCGAGAGAGAGAAAGGAUGAGCAGGAAGGAAAUGGCAUAAGGAAAAGGGUUAAGAAGCUACUCUGUAUCCUCUGUGUCACAUCCAGGCCAGUGCUGCACUCAAGAUUACAACCUAACAAGGCUCCUUUGGGUUUCAGACCUCACAGGGGAAAGAAACACACAGACUCACAAAGAGCACAUUCACAUACACACACAAUUAGUAAUGUUGCUGAUUUCUCUUUCCAACUUCACUAAAAAUAACAGGCACCUUCUCUCAGUUAUGGAAGGGAGCAAUGAGAAGGAGUCUUCAUACACCCCACUACAUAGAACACUAAUGUCUACAACACAGUUUCUCAACAACCGGACCCUGGACCGCUGCCGGUCCCUGAAGGGUUGAGUGCCGGUCCCUGACUGGGAGUCAACCCCCACCCCCACAACAACUGCAAUCAAGGCACUCACUUCCUCAAUUUUGCACAUGGCACAGAAGAGGAAGAGGAAGAGUAUCACGGAGGCACAGGACCCUGCUUCCUCCUUGCCUCCACGUGCUGCUGAGAUCUUCCUACAGCUAUCUUUAUCUUUACAAUUUCAAACUGUAUGCGGCGUGGGGGCACUGAGGAAAAGGUAUGGCAGUGGGCGCCACUUGAAGGGCUGCUGGUUCUUGCAUGCUCAUUAUUUGCAGCCAAAGGUUGAUUGAUUGAAACUCAGCUGCCUGUUGCGGCCAAAGCGCCUUGAGAGGAAACCCUGUUUCCCUAUUGCAUUGGUGGGGCGUUGCGGUCCCUCAGUCCCCUGUAACCCCCUGGUCUGCACUACUGGUAGAAGAUGGCGGUCCCCUUUGUGACCUCGCCAGGAGGUGGAACCUCUGGCCGGGAUCAUGCCGCAGUGAGGGCUAAGUGGGGUAGGGAGGGAGGAGGGCUGCCUUUGCUUGGGCUUUGCAGAAAGGGAGUACAGGUGGACCUUCCUCGGGGGAGGGGGAGCAAGCACGCAUACCAAGGAGAGCUAAGUGGAGGAGGGAGCCGGCAUGGUACGGGGAAGAGGCAAGAUACCAUUUUGUGCGUUCAUGCAAAAGGGUCAUUGGAUGAAUGGCACUGGAAUGAAGUGAUCCUGGGGAUUUGAUGCCCAGCACGGUUCGUGUCCGAUUCAAACUGAUUUAAAACCAGCUGCCUGUUGCGGCCAAGGCACCUUGAGAGGAAAUGCCAUUUCCCUCUUGCAUUGGUGGGGUGUUGUGGUCCCUCGGCCCCCUAUAGCCCCCUGGUCUGCACCGACGGUGGAAGACGACGAUCCCCUUUAUGACCUCGCUGGGUGUGGGGGACAACCUCUGGCUGGGAUCAUGCUGCGGUGAGGGCUAAGCAGAGGAGGGAGGGAGGAGGGCUGCCUUGGCUUGCCUCGCAGGUAUGCGCGGGCAACAUGUGGGACCACGUGAGCUGUGUGGCCCCAAAGGCAGGCUGGUGUGAUUGGCACAUGCAGGGGAGUUGGGAGGGGGGCACAGAAGUGUGCGUUGUGAGAGAGGAUGGGGGAAUACCUGCUACACUCUGGUGUGCAAGCACAGUGGCGGCAGCUCUUGGACCCAGGCGACGUUCCGAGCCUGAUCCGGUGCACCAUUGCCUCAUCCACCCUGAACAGUGCCUCGUCUCCCCAGCGAGGAAGAUGAGGCAUCCACCACUACAAUGCCCCACGCCCUCCGCCAUCUCAGAAUCACCCCCUUCCCUUUAAUGCCAGGUCCCCACUGCUCUUCUUCACAUUUUCUUUCACUGUUUUAAUAAAAAACCCUUCCCAGCACCUGCCAUGUAACCGUUUUUAAGGGGUUUUGGAGGAGCUGCACGGGUUUCAUUAGGUCCGCCUCACAAAGUGCACAUCUAAGAGCAGGAUCCAGAUCAAGCCAGGUGAUCAUGACCAAGCAGCAUUGACAAAAAUGAGAGAUGACUAAAUUAAUUUCAGUUGGUGGUCCUGACUAACGUCGUCUGGAUCCAGCCCUGCAACUACACAACUCCUGCCAAAACUCCACCUCCAUCAUGAGAGGGUUAAACUGUAGAUUUCUGGCUCUACUGAACUUGCCCAGCUCUCCUCAACUCACCUCCUUUUUGCUUUGCUUGACAUCCAGCCUGAUGAAGUGUUUUGGGGAAUUCAAAAGCUUGCUUGUGUGUUGUUUUCAUUGUUCCCAUGUAGCUUUUGAGUUUUUCUAAUGGCCCAACAUCCCCUCUCCAUUGAGUAAUCACAAGCACCCCCACCCCGCACAUACUAAAGACAUACUGGAGACAAAUUUGUUCACCCAGGCUUUUAGAUUCAGGGGUUCUCAACCUUGGGUACUCAGAUGUUGGUGGACUUCAACUCCCAUAAUCCCCAGCCAUAAUGGCCAAAUGCCAUUGUGGUUGGGGGUUAUGGGAGUUUAACUGAGAGACCCAAGGUUGAGAACCCCUAAUAUUCCGUGUCUGCAAAAGAUUCCAAACUUAAUGAUUUUAAUGCUUAUAUUAUUUUAAUUGUAAACUGCCCAGAGAUGCAAGUUUUGGGCAGUAUAGAAGUCUGAUAGAUAGAUAGAUAGAUAGAUAGAUAGAUAGAUAGAUAGAUCAACUUGAAACCCCUUUACUAACUGCUGGUCCGGGAAACUGCGCAUGAAGAAUGUAGCGGUCCUUGAAACUCUGCACGAAGAAUUUAGCGGUCCUUGACUCCAAAAAAGUUGAGAAACUCUGGUCUACAACAUCGGUGGAACUGGGAAUAUGAAGCUGUCCGUCCUCUCACUAGGGGGAGAAACGGAUCUCCUCUCAUCAACAAUUGUAUGAGCGCAUGAGGGCACUGCUUUGCAGUGGUUCUAUUCUAUUUGCAGUGGAACCUGGCGGGAAGGAUCCAGAAGGUGGCUCCGCUUCAUGGCAAAUGUGCUAUGACAUGAUGAUAAAGGUUUCUGUCUUGUUUUCUGUGCUGCUUAACAUCUACAUGAAACUGUUGGAGUCUUUCAGAGAUAUGACAAGCCGUGUGAGUAUCCAGUGAGUAUCCAGCUGAUAAUACUCGGGUCUAUUUCAUGGUGUAGUACAGCAGGAAUGGGCAGGGAUGCAGUCCUAGUACUUUUUGAACUCCAGGGUCUCUCAUCAGGGAGGCAAAACUCUCUGUUUUCUAAGUGGAAAUAAUGUGCUGCUCUUGCUAUUCCAACAGUUGGUUAUUGAAUAUCAGAAUACAACUGAUUUUAUUACCCUUCUUCCUGACUUCUGUUACAAGGAGUAUCCUCUAACCCUUGUGGUUGAUAAUUAGGGAUGUGUGAAUCAAUUCAUGACUGAAUCGAUUCAACUUGAAUCUGAGUGAUUCGACCUCAGAUUCAAGGUUGAAUCAAAUCCCUCUCAGUUUGAGCUUGAAUCAAUUUGGUGACUUGAGCCUCCAUUUUGUCCCCGGCAAUCUCCAUAUUGUACUCUCUGAGCUUCUGCCAUCACUACCAGGGGUGAUUUUUUAGGAAUCUUUAUAUGUGGGUUCUGAGAAUCCACAGAAUCCACAACACAUAAACAUUCCUAAAAUUUCACCCCUUUGUCCAAUUCCUUUGGGACCCUGCCACACAACCUGCUUGGGUGCCCCCUAGCCCUUAAAAAUUCAGCAAAAUUAAUUCAAAUUUGAAUCAAAUCAAAUUUGAAUUGAAUUGACCUAGAUUCUAGGGCAGCAGAUUUGAGCUCAAAUCGAAUCAGGCUGAUACAAUUUGAACUUGAAUCAAAUCACAAAAAUCAAUUUGUGCACAUCCCUAUUGAUAAUCCAGACUGCUCUUCUGGGUGGAUAACCACCACAUGAGAUUCAAGCUCUGUAAUAUUAGGAAACUAUCAUUGACUUCUUGUAACAAAACCCCUGAAAUUAUUUGCACCUAUCUAAGUGGGGUGUGUAGCCAUCUAAGUGGGUGUGUUAUGUACCCCAACCUUAGACUUAAAGGUACCAGCCCAGAAGUAUGUGGAAUUGAGGCCUGUGUCUGAUUUCAUUUUAUAUUAAGAAAUGAAUUAAUGCUUGGGCUCAGGGUGAACUGACAGCCCAGAUCUCAACUGACCUGUGAGGGAAGAGGCAAUCCAGCAUUGUAUUGUGAAAUGGCUACUCAAGGGAGUACAAAAGCCAGGCCUGAAUGCUGAAUGCUAUAUCCAAAUGCUAAAAUGUGACUCACUACCAGAUAAUGUCUGUGAAAGAGGCCAGAGGCUGGCCUCCCCUCUCCUGUUGCAAGAAGCCAGCGUUAAUCCUUGUCAAUGAUUAACUCAAUUGCUCUCUAUAGAGAUUCAACAUAGGUAAAUGCAUACAAAGCAAACACCUGUAGACUUUACAGGAUGCUUCUGCCUUAGUCAAAUGUAUUGAUUAAUUCGUCUCACACAUGUACCCCUUUUUUAUGUUACUUUAAAUAUUCUCUUGUUAUAAUUAAACACUAGAUAAAGGUACACAAGAAAUAAUGUAAUUGCUGUCUCACACAAAUAGAACUAAAUGCUCUCACUAACUCUUGGCUUUUAACACCUUUUGGGGUCAGACUGGCAAUUGGGGGAAGAUGCAAUUUGUAGCUCUGAGAUGCAGAUUUGCUUUGGGCAAUGUUAACCCCCCCCUUCCUAAGCGCACAGUUUACAGAAUAUGAGUUUGAGAUCUCUCUGGAUUGGCCAAUAUCCUGAAUAAUUAAAAGACAUUGUCCAGAAGGUAGCAGCAAGUUGUCACCUUUUGGGACCCAGGAAAAGAUGAGAUUUGAAUAGACUCUAUGAGAGAGAGCUCAAAGGAAAAUACAACUAUAAAGAAUGAGGCUACUGGACAGAGAGUUGGCAGUCUUUUGCCUACAAGCAGUCUUGUGCCUACAGCAAGAUCCGCUCACAAACAAUGCCAGAGUUUGCUGCUAAGCCGUGGGGUUAGAAGCAGGAACUCUGUCCAUGGACAGGAGCUGUCUGUGACUUCUACUGCACAGUGAGAAGUCAAGACUUCCCCAGCCAUGGCACUCUGACUCUCAGCCGUGAUCUGAGCAACUGCAAUAGCUCCUGUCUCCAGCCAAAGAGCCUCGCUCCUUCAGCUGAAGAGAUCCCCGCUCUCAAGUCUCUCUGAUCCUGGUAAUAUGCUGCUCCUACAAGAAUUGGAUCCCUCCAUCUUUUCCCCUCCUUCUCCUCCCCCCCUUUUUCCUCUACUAAUUCCUGAACCAUGCCAGCCCUCAGCUUUCCUCCCCCCACCCCGCUUUUCCAUCUAUAUCUGAAUUGUAUUAGGCUCUAGGAAGAUUUAAGGCACACACAUAUGUUAGUUAGGAACACGUUGAAUAUUGGUGCUGGCUAGGAUGUUCUGUUUAAAUGCUGUUAGUAAUAUAUUGAUAGAGUGUUCUGCUUUCUGCUAGAUCAUGUUGUUACUCUUUUAUACUCAAUAAAGCCCAUUGAAUCUUU